This is a long non-coding RNA of Pantherophis guttatus, 274 nucleotides long. RefSeq lists it as uncharacterized. The record is from RefSeq and is a predicted model, not a curated record. Lineage: Eukaryota; Metazoa; Chordata; Lepidosauria; Squamata; Colubridae.
CGCAUCCAGCCCACGGGCUGCGAAUUUGACUCUCCUGUUCUAGAUAAUUCUGAAAGCAGCCACUCAAGGUUAAGGACUAAGCUCCCAGCUCCAAACUCCAUCAAAGAAUACAUGAAAUUCGAAGAAAAUGCACAAAUGGGAGACAUUCAACCAAUCAGCGGCUUACAAAAAUACUGAAGACAGGUGGACACAAAUGUCUGUGUUGGAAGAAAACUCAUAUGGAAACAUGAAACUAAAAUAAAAUUUGAAAUAUUAAAAACUAAUUGAAACCACA